GGUAGCGCCUCGUGAAUUCAUCUCCGGGGGUAGAGCACUGUUUCGGCUAGGGGGCCAUCCCGGCUUACCAACCCGAUGCAAACUGCGAAUACCGGAGAAUGUUAUCACGGGAGACACACGGCGGGUGCUAACGUCCGUCGUGAAGAGGGAAACAACCCAGACCGCCAGCUAAGGUCCCAAAGUCAUGGUUAAGUGGGAAACGAUGUGGGAAGGCCCAGACAGCCAGGAUGUUGGCUUAGAAGCAGCCAUCAUUUAAAGAAAGCGUAAUAGCUCACUGGUCGAGUCGGCCUGCGCGGAAGAUGUAACGGGGCUAAACCAUGCACCGAAGCUGCGGCAGCGACACUGUGUGUUGUUGGGUAGGGGAGCGUUCUGUAAGCCUGUGAAGGUGUGUCGUGAGGCAUGCUGGAGGUAUCAGAAGUGCGAAUGCUGACAUAAGUAAC
This 440-nucleotide ribosomal RNA is filed under the name Salmonella enterica. RNAcentral describes it as "partial 23S ribosomal RNA". It matches the Rfam family "Bacterial large subunit ribosomal RNA", at positions 873 to 1310 of the family's 2925-position model. Lineage: Bacteria; Pseudomonadati; Pseudomonadota; Gammaproteobacteria; Enterobacterales; Enterobacteriaceae. The record is from RNAcentral.